RNAcentral lists this ribosomal RNA (494 nucleotides) under uncultured bacterium. RNAcentral describes it as "bacterial SSU rRNA". It matches the Rfam family "Bacterial small subunit ribosomal RNA", at positions 355 to 865 of the family's 1533-position model. The record is from RNAcentral.
UGGGGAAUAUUGGACAAUGGGGGCAACCCUGAUCCAGCCAUGCCGCGUGAGUGAUGAAGGCCUUCGGGUUGUAAAGCUCUUUUGGCGGGGACGAUGAUGACGGUACCCGCAGAAUAAGCCCCGGCUAACUUCGUGCCAGCAGCCGCGGUAAGACGAAGGGGGCUAGCGUUGUUCGGAAUUACUGGGCGUAAAGCGCGUGUAGGCGGUUGCCCAAGUCGGAUGUGAAAGCCUUGAGCUCAACUCAAGAAAUGCAUUCGGUACUGGGUGACUAGAGGACCGGAGAGGAUAGUGGAAUUCCCAGUGUAGUGGUGAAAUACGUAGAGAUUGGGAAGAACACCAGUGGCGAAGGCGGCUAUCUGGACGGUUUCUGACGCUAAGACGCGAAAGCGUGGGGAGCAAACAGGAUUAGAUACCCUGGUAGUCCUAGCCCUAAACGAUGGAUGCUUGGUGUGGCCGGUACCCAAUCCGGCUGUGCCGAAGCUAACGCGAUAAGC